CAGCCUCUCUGUGUUAGUGAUGCUUGUUUAACAGUCUGAUGGCCUUGAGAUGGAAGCUGUUAUUCAGUCGCUUGGUCCCAGCUUUGAUUCACCUGUACCGACCUCGCCUUCUGGAUGGUAGCGGGGUGAACAGGCAGUGGCUCAGGUGGUUGUUGUCCUUGAUGAUCUGGGACGAGGGAAAGAUGAAUGAAGUAAAGUACAGUGAGAUCCUUGAUGAAACCUGCUCCAGAGCACUCAGGACCUCACAAUGGGUUGAAGGUUCACCUGCCAACAUGACAACAACCCUAAGCACAAAAAAUCCUGCCAA
RNAcentral lists this long non-coding RNA (307 nucleotides) under Salmo salar (Atlantic salmon). RNAcentral describes it as "lncRNA (ENSSSAG00000085150.1)". Lineage: Eukaryota; Metazoa; Chordata; Actinopteri; Salmoniformes; Salmonidae. The record is from RNAcentral.